GAUGAACGCUGGCGGCGUGCCUAAUACAUGCAAGUCGAGCGAACAGACGAGGAGCUUGCUCCUCUGACGUUAGCGGCGGACGGGUGAGUAACACGUGGAUAACCUACCUAUAAGACUGGGAUAACUUCGGGAAACCGGAGCUAAUACCGGAUAAUAUAUUGAACCGCAUGGUUCAAUAGUGAAAGACGGUUUUGCUGUCACUUAUCGAUGGAUCCGCGCCGCAUUAGCUUGUUGGUAAGGUAACGGCUUACCACGGCAACGUGGCGUAGCAGACCUGAGAUGGUGGGCAGCCACACUGGAACUGUGACCCGGUCCAGACGCCGUGGGGAGGCAGCCGGAGGGAAUCUUCCGGAAUGGGCGAAAGCCUGACGGAGCAACGCCGCGUGAUGGAGGAAGGUCUUCGGAUCGUAAAACUCUGUUAUUGGGGUAGAACAAAUGUGUAAGUAACUAUGCACGUCUUGACGGUACCUAAUCAGAAAGCCACGGCUAACUUCGUU
RNAcentral lists this ribosomal RNA (497 nucleotides) under uncultured bacterium. RNAcentral describes it as "partial 16S ribosomal RNA". It matches the Rfam family "Bacterial small subunit ribosomal RNA", at positions 28 to 507 of the family's 1533-position model. The record is from RNAcentral.